CUGCUUGUGAUUAAUGCAUACAUUGGAAUUACCGUCUGAUCUUCGGACAGGACGAGAAUCUGCGGCUUGAAUGAAGCAGUGG
Molecule: non-coding RNA, 82 nt
Organism: Seminavis robusta
Lineage: Eukaryota; Bacillariophyta; Bacillariophyceae; Naviculales; Naviculaceae
Source: the annotation of a GenBank genome assembly